UACGAAGGGGGCUAGCGUUGCUCGGAAUUACUGGGCGUAAAGGGCGCGUAGGCGGCACUGUUAGUCAGGCGUGAAAGUCCUGGGCUCAACCUGGGAACUGCGCUUGAUACGGCAGAGCUAGAGGAUGGAAGAGGCUCGCGGAAUUCCCAGUAUAGAGGUGAAAUUCGUAGAUAUUGGGAAGAACACCGGUGGCGAAGGCGGCGAGCUGGUCCAUUACUGACGCUGAGGCGCGACAGCGUGGGGAGCAAACAGG
This 253-nucleotide ribosomal RNA is filed under the name uncultured bacterium. Its description in RNAcentral is "partial 16S ribosomal RNA". It matches the Rfam family "Bacterial small subunit ribosomal RNA", at positions 524 to 776 of the family's 1533-position model. The record is from RNAcentral.